GGCCGCGUGGCGAAAUGGCAUCGCCGAUCUAUGAAAACUUGGUGACAUCAGGAGAUUGCAGGUUCGAAACCUGCCCCGGUCA
Hymenopellis radicata is the source of this 82-nucleotide non-coding RNA. The record is from the annotation of a GenBank genome assembly. Lineage: Eukaryota; Fungi; Basidiomycota; Agaricomycetes; Agaricales; Physalacriaceae.